Molecule: long non-coding RNA, 1727 nt
Filed under: Salmo salar (Atlantic salmon)
Lineage: Eukaryota; Metazoa; Chordata; Actinopteri; Salmoniformes; Salmonidae
Description: lncRNA (ENSSSAG00000089312.1)
Source: RNAcentral
GAGGAAAAAAUCCCAAAGGCGGGGGCGGUCGGGGUCACGCGCAUAAGCCAGUGUCCCUUGAUCGGCCACUUGAGAAAGGCGAUAAUGUGUUUCAGCCUGGGGCUGGAAUGACGACAUUCUGUUUUUUCCCGGGCUCUGAGCGCCUAUGGACGAUGUGGGAAGUGUCACGUUAGAGCAGAGAUCCUUAGUAAAUGAUAGAGAUGGAAAACAAGUUCAAGAAAUGGUCAGACAGGCCACUUCCUGUAAAGGAAUCUCUCAGGUUUUGACCUGCCAUUUGAGUUCUGUUAUACUCACAGACACCAUUCAAACAGUUUUAGAAAAUUUAGGGUGUUUUCUAUCCAUAUGUAAUAAGUAUAUGCAUAUUCUAGUUACUGGGUAGGAGUGGUAACCAGAUUAAAUCGGGUAUGUUUUUUAUCCAGCCGUGUCAAUACUGCCCCCUAUCCUAAACAGGUUAACACUUUUUUGGUUACUACAUGAUUCCAUAUGUGUUAUUUCAUAGUUUUGAUGUCUUCACUAUUAUUCUACAAUGUAGAAAAAAGUUAAAAAUAAAGAAUAACCCUUGAAUGUGUAGUUGUGUCCAAACUUUUGACUGGUACUGUAUAUAUUUUUUUUAACAUUUAAUGCACUAUGCAUUAUGUGGGUUGAAUGCUGUAACCACUCAGAAUAAAACAAUUCAUAAAAGUCCCAUGAUGGUAGUGACUGCACAUUACUGCUUAUAUUAACCAUUGUUUAUUCACAUUAUUUUCCUUUAAUAAAAUAUUUCAGUUGUUGUGUAUAUAAACAUGUUUUAUUUGAUUACUUUAUUAUUUAAUUCCAAGUCAUCAUCUCAUCUCCAUAGAGCUGCUGCCUAUGCUGUCUGACUAAAUCACUAUUUUAGUAGUUCUUCAAAGUAAAUAAGGCAUACUUUUAUGACUGCUGAAUACCAACUAUCAAACACUUAAAUUAUGUAUUUUCAAGAAAAAAUACCUCAUGAAGCGAGAGCUCUCUCUCGAUCGCACAUUCAUCUGUCUCUUUUACGUAGUAGGCGUUAAGGAAACAGACCGGACCAGUAGGCGCGCAAUGGAUUAUGGUCAUUGUAGUUCAUGUUUUCUGAGCUUAACAAUGUAGAAUAUUGGCUUGUUGGAAACUACUACAACAUCACAGAGUUCAGGCUUGAUCUGAUUGUUCUUUAAAGAAACUGCAUAAUGUGUGCAUUGAGCUUACAGAAAACUGAACAAAAUGUACUUCCAAUAAUUGAACCAACGUCUGUCAAUUAGUGGUUAAAAUACGGAAAAUAACUGAAAUGUCAGUUAAUCACUCAGCACUAAUGGACAAGGAUGAUUUUAUCCUAGAUCAGUACUCCCACUCUUAAAUGCUAUAUGUAUACGGGCCUAGGAGCUCAUUUCAAAAUGGCGGUUGAAUGCUCUGUGUCUUAUUGUGUGUGUACUAACACAGCCAUCUGUUGUCUGAAAGUGAUGGGGCUAAGUUGCUCUGUGAGCCUGUAUCUAUGUUAUGUUGUGUAUUAUUAUACUGAUGUAUGUAUUGCCGUUUGUAUCAUAAGCUGAACACCAAUGUAUGUUACAUAUCGGAGAAAUGUAAAAGUCAUGUAAAAUAGGAGCGAUGUGGCAGUGUUUUUAUUGCUGUUCUGUACUAUCAAUUUAUUCUGCAAUUAAACCAACCUUUUCCUGUAGAGGGAUGUUGCCCUUUAUUUUGAGUCUGUGAGAUUUUAUGAUGCACAAAAAUGGAUU